This is a non-coding RNA of Phalacrocorax carbo (great cormorant), 493 nucleotides long. Lineage: Eukaryota; Metazoa; Chordata; Aves; Suliformes; Phalacrocoracidae. The record is from RefSeq and is a predicted model, not a curated record.
CUCCCAAUCAUCCUGCUGACCUCCUGGCAGAGCUGCUGGAAGGCUUCAUGCACUCCCUCACAGUUCUCCCGGGCUGAAACUUCAUAGUACAGGCAGAAACCUCUCUGACUGCUGGGGAAUGUACAAGGGACAGGAGAAAUUUCCACUGUGUCAAGCUUCUAGGUGGCCGGAAGAGUUUCAGCCCUGGUAAAAAAGAGCCAGGUAUGUUAAGCAAGACCAUGGAGAAUAUUCUAUAUGAGCAAAGACGUUCCUAGAAGAAUACAGAUCUGCUGGCUUGCUCCAAAAGAGAGCAACACAAUCAACAGAAACAGAAGUUAAAGCCCUUCUGGGUAACCAAAUGUUGUGCCAGCGCUGAGGAACUCCAGAAGGAUCUCACAAAAGCGACUGAGUGCGCACAAAGUCGGCAGGUGAGCUUUAGUCUAGAUAAACGUAAGGUGUUGCAUCUAGAGAAAAAUAAUAUAAUUGAUGCUGAACUUGGGUGUGGCACUCAGAC